UACGGAGGGUGCUAGCGUUGUUCGGAAUUACUGGGCUUAAAGCGCGUGUAGGCGGAGUGUCAGGUGCCUUGUGAAAUCCCCGGGCUCAACCCGGGAAUUGCUGGGCAAACGGGCAUUCUUGAGGCAGGCAGAGGUGAGUGGAACAACUGGUGGAGCGGUGAAAUGCGUAGAUAUCAGUUGGAACGCCGGAGGCGAAAGCGAUUCACUGGGCCUGUCCUGACGCUGAGACGCGAAAGCGUGGGUAGCAAACAGG
RNAcentral lists this ribosomal RNA (253 nucleotides) under uncultured bacterium. Its description in RNAcentral is "partial 16S ribosomal RNA". It matches the Rfam family "Bacterial small subunit ribosomal RNA", at positions 524 to 776 of the family's 1533-position model. The record is from RNAcentral.